RNAcentral lists this ribosomal RNA (406 nucleotides) under uncultured bacterium. RNAcentral's name for it is "bacterial SSU rRNA". It matches the Rfam family "Bacterial small subunit ribosomal RNA", at positions 29 to 416 of the family's 1533-position model. The record is from RNAcentral.
AACGAACGCUGGCGGCGUGCCUAACACAUGCAAGUCGUGCGAGGAAAGUUCCUUCGGGAGCGAGUAAAGCGGCGCACGGGUGAGUAACACGUAGGUAACCUGCCCCCCAGUCUGGAACAACUAGAGGAAACUCUAGCUAAUGCCGGAUGAGACCACGAUCCCUUCGGGGUUGGCGGCCAAAGAAUGGCCUCUACUUGUAAGCUAUCGCUGAGGGAUGGGCCUGCGGGCCAUUAGCUUGUUGGUGAGGUAACGGCUCACCAAGGCUGUGAUGGCUAGCUGGUCUGAGAGGAUGACCAGCCACACUGGGACUGAGACACGGCCCAGACUCCUACGGGAGGCAGCAGUGGGGAAUAUUGCGCAAUGGGCGAAAGCCUGACGCAGCGACGCCGCGUGGGUGAUGAAGGCC